Molecule: small nucleolar RNA, 73 nt
Filed under: Otus sunia (Oriental scops-owl)
Lineage: Eukaryota; Metazoa; Chordata; Aves; Strigiformes; Strigidae
Description: Small nucleolar RNA SNORD26 (ENSOSUG00000004405.1)
Rfam family: Small nucleolar RNA SNORD26
About the family: U26 is a member of the C/D class of snoRNA which contain the C (UGAUGA) and D (CUGA) box motifs. U26 is encoded within the U22 snoRNA host gene (UHG) in mammals and is thought to act as a 2'-O-ribose methylation guide for ribosomal RNA.
Source: Rfam by way of RNAcentral
CCGCUGGGAUGAUCCCACCGAACUCUCUCUUGCUGACCCCCCCUUGGAGAAACCCCCACAGGCUCUGAGCGGC